UCCCGUUGAUCCUGCGGGAGGCUGCUGCUAUGAGGGUUCGACUAAGCCAUGCAAGUUCUGGGGUAGCAAUACACCGGCUAAAUGCUCAGCAACACGUCGUUAAUCUGCCUUUAGGUUGGGGAUAACCUUGGGAAACUGAGGCUAAUACCUGAUAGGGUGAUUCUUCUGGAAGGAUUUUCACUUUAAACUUCGGGCCUAAAGAUGAGACGGCGGCGGAUUAGGCUGUUGGCGGGGUAACGGCCCACCAAACCGAAGAUCCGUAGGGGCCUUGAGAGAGGUAACCCCGAGAAGGACACUGAGAUACUGGUCCUAGCCCUACGGGGUGCAGCAGGCGCGAAACCUUUACAAUGCACGAAAGUGUGAUAAGGGAACCCUUAGUGCUCAUGCAUUGCAUGGGCUUUUUGCCAAGUGUAAAUAGCUUGGCGAAUAAGAGGUGGGCAAGACUGGUGCCAGCCGCCGCGGUAACACCAGCGCCACAAGUGGGAGCCAGUAUUAUUGGGUCUAAAGCGUUCGUAGCCUGUUAAGUUAAUCUUUUGUGAAAUUGUCGUGCCCAACAUGACAGAGUGCAGAAGACACUGCUUGACUUGGGACCGGGAGGAGUUAGGAGUAUUCUUGGGGGAGCGGUAAAAUGCUAUAAUCCCUGGAAGACUACCUGCGGCGAAGGCGCCUAACCAGAACGGGUCCGACGGUGAGGAACGAAAGCUAGGGGAGCAAUCCGGAUUAGAUACCCGAGUAGUCCUAGCUGUAAACGCUGUGUGCUAGGUGUUGCGUAUUCUACAUGAAUACGCAGUGUCAAAGUGAAGACGUUAAGCACACCACCUGGGAAGUACGGUCGCAAGGCUGAAACUUAAAGGAAUUGGCGGGGGAGCACUACAAGGGGUGCGGCGUGCGGUUUAAUCUAAUUCAACACAGAAAAUCUCACCAGCAGCGACGGCAGGAUGAAAGUCUGAUUAAAGGUUUUACUUGACGAGCCGAGAGGUAGUGCAUGGCCGCCGUCAGCUUGUACCGUGAGGUGUCCUGUUAAGUCAGGCAACGAGCGAGACCUGUAUCUAUAAUUGCCAGCGGCUCUUUUGAGGACCGGGCACUUUAUGGGAACUGCCUUGGAAACAAGGAGGAAGGUGCAGGCUACGGUAGGUCUGUAUGCUCCGAAUCUGCUGGGCUACACGCGCGCAACAAUGGUAAGGACAAUGGGAUACAACUCCGAAAGGAGAAGUUAACCCUCUAAACCUUAUCUUAGUCCAGAUCGAGGAUUGUAACUCAUCCUCGUGACGAUGGAAUCCCUAGUAAUCGGACGUCAUCAGCGUCCGGUGAAUAUGUCCCUGCUCCUUGCACACACCGCCCGUCAAACCAACCGAGCAGGGUUUGGGUGAGCCUUAGCUAUUUUGGUUAAGCCGAAUCCAAGCUCAGUAAGGUGGGUUAAGUCGUCACAAGGUA
This 1434-nucleotide ribosomal RNA is filed under the name metagenome. RNAcentral describes it as "bacterial SSU rRNA". It matches the Rfam family "Archaeal small subunit ribosomal RNA". The record is from RNAcentral.